RNAcentral lists this ribosomal RNA (468 nucleotides) under uncultured bacterium. Its description in RNAcentral is "partial 16S ribosomal RNA". It matches the Rfam family "Bacterial small subunit ribosomal RNA", at positions 28 to 507 of the family's 1533-position model. The record is from RNAcentral.
GACGAACGCUGGCGGCGUGCUUAACACAUGCAAGUCGAACGGAAAGGCCCUGCUUUUGUGGGGUGCUCGAGUGGCGAACGGGUGAGUAACACGUGAGUAACCUGCCCUUGACUUUGGGAUAACUUCAGGAAACUGGGGCUAAUACCGGAUAGGAGCUCCUGCUGCAUGGUGGGGGUUGGAAAGUUUCGGCGGUUGGGGAUGGACUCGCGGCUUAUCAGCUUGUUGGUGGGGUAGUGGCUUACCAAGGCUUUGACGGGUAGCCGGCCUGAGAGGGUGACCGGCCACAUUGGGACUGAGAUAUGGCCCAGACUCCUACGGGAGGCAGCGGUGGGGAAUAUUGCACAGUGGGCGGAAGCCUGAUGCAGCAACGCCGCGUGCGGGAUGACGGCCUUCGAGUUGUAAACCGCUUUCGCCUGUGACGAAGCGUGAGUGACGGUAAUGGGUAAAGAAGCACCGGCUAACUACGUG